RNAcentral lists this ribosomal RNA (440 nucleotides) under uncultured bacterium. Its description in RNAcentral is "partial 16S ribosomal RNA". It matches the Rfam family "Bacterial small subunit ribosomal RNA", at positions 338 to 795 of the family's 1533-position model. The record is from RNAcentral.
CCUACGGGAGGCUGCAGUGGGGAAUAUUGCACAAUGGAGGAAACCCUGAUGCAGCGACGCCGCGUGCAGGAAGACGUCUUUCUGUGUUUAAAGCUCUAUCAGCAGGGGAGAAAAUUACGGUACCUGAUUCAGACUCCCCGGCUAACUCCGUGCCAGCAGCCGCGGUAAUACGUAGGGGGCAAGCGUUAUCCGGAUUUACUGGGUGUAAAGGGGGCGUAGACGGCAGCACAAGUCAGGAGUGAAAUGCCGGGGCUUAACCCCGGAACUGCUUUGGAAACUGUGCAGCUAGAGUGCAGGUGAGGUAAGUGGAAUGCAUAGUGUAGCGGUGAAAUGCGUAGAUAUCAGGCGGAACACCAGUUGCGAAGGCGGCUUACUGGACUGCAACUGACGUUGAGGCUCGAAAGCGUGGGGAGCAAACAGGAUUAGAUACCCUAGUAGUC